AGCCUUAGUUUCUUUUCUUUUCCUUUUUCUUCUUCUUCUUCUUCUUAACUUUAUGCCAUUUAGUUUGGUUACUAGAGCAACAUAUUAUAUGUACAAACCUUAUAAUAAGGUUAUUAUUCGAUUAAUUGUAACAUGGUUAUGGAUAAGCUAAGCCAAUAUGAACGUGUGUUCAACCACUUCGAUGAGAAUGGAGACGGCAAGAUAUCGGCAUCGGAGCUGAAGCAAUGCGUGGAGGAAGUGGGUGGGGAGUUGUCGGCCAAGGAGGCGGAGGUGGCCGUGACAUUACUGGAUUUGGACGGGGAUGGGCUUCUGGGACUCGAUGAUUUUGUGAGGUUUGUGGAAGGAGGAGAAGAGGAAGAGAAAGUGAAUGAUUUAAGAGAGGCUUUUAAGAUGUAUGAGAUGGACGGGAGUGGUUGCAUCACACCAAAGAGCCUUAAGAGGAUGCUUAGCAGGUUAGGUGAGUCUAGGUCUAUAGAUGAUUGUAAAUUUAUGAUAUCUAGAUUCGAUCUCAAUGGAGAUGGAGUUCUUAAUUUUGAUGAAUUCAGGGUCAUGAUGUUGUAAUAUUAAUUAGCGGUAGUAAAAUAGGCUAAAUCUGUUAGGUCAAAUCGUCCAAAAAGUAAAGACGGAUCGAGAAAAAAUUUAAAAUUUGUCCAACACUAAAAAUUCGCUAAAAUUGCACCGUUACAACCGUGGGUCAAGGUAGAGCGGGACGGAUUGUCCUCUUUUUUUUUAAGGUUAUGUUAGUAAUUUUAUACAUGAUAUAAAUAGUAAAUAUAAAUUGAAAUUAGGAUACCAACAUUGAUUCACUGAAGCGACCUCCUCCGACCUUGGCUCCCUCCUCAAUGACCGAACCUUGAGCUCCUUGCCUCCCUCCUCACUCUCAUCUCUCAAGCUCUCACGCAUUUUCAGAGACCAACGAUAGCAGCAGCGAUUCCCUCACAUGUUUGCAGUGGCACGCUCGUCUUUCCUCUCUCAUAUCUCCCUCACUUUUGUGACAGCGCGCUCGUUUCUCCUCUCUGACAAUUCUGUCUCUCAGCAGUGACAAAUCUUCUUCACAUUUGCGGUAGCGCACUCGUCUCUCCUCUUUCAUAGCUCGUCUUUGGCUUUCUUGGCAACGGCGACAAACUCCUCCUCUGAUAAUUACUGGUAAAGAUGAAAAUGUGAUUUCUCAAAGUGCUAGGCGAGGCGGUGUUUCAACUUUCGGAGCAGAUUUAAAUUUUAUUGAUUUAGAAGUUAACAAUUAAUUUAUCUGUUGAUUUAUAGAUUAUGUUGUGUAUUUUGUUUUAAGUGUAGUUUGAUUAUUUGAUAUGAAUUUAUGUAUGGAUGAUAUGUUUACGUUUUAUUAUUGUUGUGUUUGAGAUUUAUUAAGUUAUUAUGGUUAACAUUGUGAUUUAAAUUUGUUUGAAAUUUAAAAUCAUAUUAUUUUAGAGUAUUUCAAAGAAAAAAGGAAGAAGAUCCACCCGCCAAUUCACAGUUAGUCUUUUGAUUGGGUGGGACAGAAAGUUAUAAUAAACCUAUAUUAAUUUAGUAGGAUGGACAGUCCCAUAUUUGAACGAA
This is an RNA transcript of Arachis stenosperma, 1557 nucleotides long. It is a transcript of the gene named putative calcium-binding protein CML19, with no coding region annotated. The record is from RefSeq and is a predicted model, not a curated record. The transcript has 2 exons. NCBI's taxonomy places the organism in Eukaryota, Viridiplantae, Streptophyta, Magnoliopsida, Fabales, Fabaceae.